CGAACUGUGCGAACGUUAUUCGGAAUCACUGGGCUUAAAGGGUGCGUAGGCGGUUUUCUAAGUCACGUGUGAAAUCUUCCGGCUCAACCGGAAAACUGCGCGUGAUACUGGAAGACUUGAGUGAGGUAGGGGUGUGUGGAACUUCCGGUGGAGCGGUGAAAUGUGUAGAGAUCGGAAGGAACGCCAGCAGCGAAAGCGGCACACUGGGCCUUAUCUGACGCUGAGGCACGAAAGCUAGGGGAGUGAACGGGAUUAGAUACCCCGGUAAUCCUAGCCGUAAACACUGAACACUGGAGGACGGGGGCUUCGGCCUUCGUUCUCGUAGCGAAAGCGUUAAGUGUUCCGCCUGGGGAGUAUGGUCGCAAGGCUG
RNAcentral lists this ribosomal RNA (370 nucleotides) under uncultured organism. RNAcentral's name for it is "bacterial SSU rRNA". It matches the Rfam family "Bacterial small subunit ribosomal RNA", at positions 526 to 896 of the family's 1533-position model. The record is from RNAcentral.